Molecule: ribosomal RNA, 490 nt
Filed under: uncultured bacterium
Lineage: Bacteria
Description: partial 16S ribosomal RNA
Rfam family: Bacterial small subunit ribosomal RNA
Source: RNAcentral
GAUGAACGCUAGCUACAGGCUUAACACAUGCAAGUCGCGGGGCAGCAUGGGGGUUGCUUGCAAUCCCCGAUGGCGACCGGCGCACGGGUGAGUAACGCGUAUCCAACCUGCCCUUCACCACGGGAUAACCCGGCGAAAGUCGGACUAAUACCGUAUGUUGUCCAUUGACGGCAUCCGAUUUGGACGAAAGGUUUGGCGGUGAAGGAUGGGGAUGCGUCCGAUUAGCUGGACGGCGGGGUGACGGCCCACCGUGGCGACGAUCGGUAGGGGUUCUGAGAGGAAGGUCCCCCACACUGGAACUGCGACACGGUCCAGACUCCUACGGGAGGCAGCAGUGAGGAAUAUUGGUCACUGGGCGUAAGCCUGAACCAGCCAAGUAGCGUGCAGGAUGACGGCCCUAUGGGUUGUAAACUGCUUUUAUGCGGGGAUAAAGUGGCCCACGUGUGGGUUUUUGCAGGUACCGCAUGAAUAAGGACCGGCUAAUUCCGUG